Molecule: ribosomal RNA, 385 nt
Filed under: uncultured bacterium
Lineage: Bacteria
Description: bacterial SSU rRNA
Rfam family: Bacterial small subunit ribosomal RNA
Source: RNAcentral
AACGAACGCUGGCGGCAUGCCUAACACAUGCAAGUCGAACGCGUGUAGCAAUACACGAGUGGCGGACGGGUGAGUAACGCGUGGGAACCUGCCCAAUGGUAGGGAAUAACUGCGGGAAACUGCAGCUAAUACCCUAUGCUCCCUACGGGGGAAAGAUUUAUCGCCAUUGGAGGGGCCCGCGUCGGAUUAGCUAGUUGGCGGGGUAACGGCCCACCAAGGCUACGAUCCGUAGCUGGUCUGAGAGGAUGAUCAGCCACACUGGGACUGAGAUACGGCCCAGACUCCUACGGGAGGCAGCAGUGGGGAAUAUUGGACAAUGGGGAAACCCUGAUCCAGCAAUGCCGCGUGAGUGAAGAAGGCCUUAGGGUUGUAAAGCUCUUUCGGC